RNAcentral lists this ribosomal RNA (2903 nucleotides) under Escherichia marmotae. Its description in RNAcentral is "bacterial LSU rRNA". It matches the Rfam family "Bacterial large subunit ribosomal RNA". The record is from RNAcentral. Lineage: Bacteria; Pseudomonadati; Pseudomonadota; Gammaproteobacteria; Enterobacterales; Enterobacteriaceae.
UUAAGCGACUAAGCGUACACGGUGGAUGCCCUGGCAGUCAGAGGCGAUGAAGGACGUGCUAAUCUGCGAUAAGCGUCGGUAAGGUGAUAUGAACCGUUAUAACCGGCGAUUUCCGAAUGGGGAAACCCAGUGUGAUUCGUCACACUAUCAUUAACUGAAUCCAUAGGUUAAUGAGGCGAACCGGGGGAACUGAAACAUCUAAGUACCCCGAGGAAAAGAAAUCAACCGAGAUUCCCCCAGUAGCGGCGAGCGAACGGGGAGGAGCCCAGAGCCUGAAUCAGUGUGUGUGUUAGUGGAAGCGUCUGGAAAGGCGUGCGAUACAGGGUGACAGCCCCGUACACAAAAAUGCACAUGCUGUGAGCUCGAUGAGUAGGGCGGGACACGUGGUAUCCUGUCUGAAUAUGGGGGGACCAUCCUCCAAGGCUAAAUACUCCUGACUGACCGAUAGUGAACCAGUACCGUGAGGGAAAGGCGAAAAGAACCCCGGCGAGGGGAGUGAAAAAGAACCUGAAACCGUGUACGUACAAGCAGUGGGAGCCUCUUUAAUGGGGUGACUGCGUACCUUUUGUAUAAUGGGUCAGCGACUUAUAUUCUGUAGCAAGGUUAACCGAAUAGGGGAGCCGAAGGGAAACCGAGUCUUAACUGGGCGUUAAGUUGCAGGGUAUAGACCCGAAACCCGGUGAUCUAGCCAUGGGCAGGUUGAAGGUUGGGUAACACUAACUGGAGGACCGAACCGACUAAUGUUGAAAAAUUAGCGGAUGACUUGUGGCUGGGGGUGAAAGGCCAAUCAAACCGGGAGAUAGCUGGUUCUCCCCGAAAGCUAUUUAGGUAGCGCCUCGUGAAUUCAUCUCCGGGGGUAGAGCACUGUUUCGGCAAGGGGGUCAUCCCGACUUACCAACCCGAUGCAAACUGCGAAUACCGGAGAAUGUUAUCACGGGAGACACACGGCGGGUGCUAACGUCCGUCGUGAAGAGGGAAACAACCCAGACCGCCAGCUAAGGUCCCAAAGUCAUGGUUAAGUGGGAAACGAUGUGGGAAGGCCCAGACAGCCAGGAUGUUGGCUUAGAAGCAGCCAUCAUUUAAAGAAAGCGUAAUAGCUCACUGGUCGAGUCGGCCUGCGCGGAAGAUGUAACGGGGCUAAACCAUGCACCGAAGCUGCGGCAGCGACACUAUGUGUUGUUGGGUAGGGGAGCGUUCUGUAAGCCGUUGAAGGUGUGCUGUGAGGCAUGCUGGAGGUAUCAGAAGUGCGAAUGCUGACAUAAGUAACGAUAAAGCGGGUGAAAAGCCCGCUCGCCGGAAGACCAAGGGUUCCUGUCCAACGUUAAUCGGGGCAGGGUGAGUCGACCCCUAAGGCGAGGCCGAAAGGCGUAGUCGAUGGGAAACAGGUUAAUAUUCCUGUACUUGGUGUUACUGCGAAGGGGGGACGGAGAAGGCUAUGUUGGCCGGGCGACGGUUGUCCCGGUUUAAGCGUGUAGGCUGAUUUUCCAGGCAAAUCCGGAGAAUCAAGGCUGAGGCGUGAUGACGAGGCACUACGGUGCUGAAGCAACAAAUGCCCUGCUUCCAGGAAAAGCCUCUAAGCAUCAGGUAACAUCAAAUCGUACCCCAAACCGACACAGGUGGUCAGGUAGAGAAUACCAAGGCGCUUGAGAGAACUCGGGUGAAGGAACUAGGCAAAAUGGUGCCGUAACUUCGGGAGAAGGCACGCUGAUAUGUAGGUGAAGCGACUUGCUCGUGGAGCUGAAAUCAGUCGAAGAUACCAGCUGGCUGCAACUGUUUAUUAAAAACACAGCACUGUGCAAACACGAAAGUGGACGUAUACGGUGUGACGCCUGCCCGGUGCCGGAAGGUUAAUUGAUGGGGUCAGCCGCAAGGCGAAGCUCUUGAUCGAAGCCCCGGUAAACGGCGGCCGUAACUAUAACGGUCCUAAGGUAGCGAAAUUCCUUGUCGGGUAAGUUCCGACCUGCACGAAUGGCGUAAUGAUGGCCAGGCUGUCUCCACCCGAGACUCAGUGAAAUUGAACUCGCUGUGAAGAUGCAGUGUACCCGCGGCAAGACGGAAAGACCCCGUGAACCUUUACUAUAGCUUGACACUGAACAUUGAGCCUUGAUGUGUAGGAUAGGUGGGAGGCUUUGAAGUGUGGACGCCAGUCUGCAUGGAGCCGACCUUGAAAUACCACCCUUUAAUGUUUGAUGUUCUAACGUUGACCCGUGAUCCGGGUUGCGGACAGUGUCUGGUGGGUAGUUUGACUGGGGCGGUCUCCUCCUAAAGAGUAACGGAGGAGCACGAAGGUUGGCUAAUCCUGGUCGGACAUCAGGAGGUUAGUGCAAUGGCAUAAGCCAGCUUGACUGCGAGCGUGACGGCGCGAGCAGGUGCGAAAGCAGGUCAUAGUGAUCCGGUGGUUCUGAAUGGAAGGGCCAUCGCUCAACGGAUAAAAGGUACUCCGGGGAUAACAGGCUGAUACCGCCCAAGAGUUCAUAUCGACGGCGGUGUUUGGCACCUCGAUGUCGGCUCAUCACAUCCUGGGGCUGAAGUAGGUCCCAAGGGUAUGGCUGUUCGCCAUUUAAAGUGGUACGCGAGCUGGGUUUAGAACGUCGUGAGACAGUUCGGUCCCUAUCUGCCGUGGGCGCUGGAGAACUGAGGGGGGCUGCUCCUAGUACGAGAGGACCGGAGUGGACGCAUCACUGGUGUUCGGGUUGUCAUGCCAAUGGCACUGCCCGGUAGCUAAAUGCGGAAGAGAUAAGUGCUGAAAGCAUCUAAGCACGAAACUUGCCCCGAGAUGAGUUCUCCCUGAGACUUUAAGUCUCCUGAAGGAACGUUGAAGACGACGACGUUGAUAGGCCGGGUGUGUAAGCGCAGCGAUGCGUUGAGCUAACCGGUACUAAUGAACCGUGAGGCUUAACCUU